UCCAGAAGAUUUAGAGAAGAGCAGCCGUGUGUGUACGAGCAGCGUCUCCAGGCAUCAGACCUGUCAGCUGCUGUCCUGCCAAGCUUCACGUGCGUCCUGUCCCCGCGCCUCAGCAGAGAGCCACGUGGAUGUUUCCUUGCUGCCUGCGGCCCACGGAGGCCUUGACUGCUAGCCACUUCAGGUCUCAGAGCGGUGAUGACACAGAUGACCUUUCCAGCAUUGAGAAACUGACUGAGACACUGAUGGACAAAGAUGUUCUCCGUUUCACCUCCAAAACCGAUUGUGGGUGAUCAUCUUCCAAAAGCAAGAGGUUAUGGAGUGGAUUCCAUCUGCAGAGGAGGAGGAGAAAAAGGCAGUGGACUCUCUCACUUCAAAUGCGAUUAGAGAGAUGUGUAAAAUGUGGGAAACAGUGCAAAAUUUUAUAGAAAAACACCACUGAAUAAAGCUGUAGC
Molecule: long non-coding RNA, 452 nt
Filed under: Heterocephalus glaber (naked mole-rat)
Lineage: Eukaryota; Metazoa; Chordata; Mammalia; Rodentia; Bathyergidae
Description: lncRNA (ENSHGLG00100044970.1)
Source: RNAcentral